RNAcentral lists this ribosomal RNA (800 nucleotides) under uncultured bacterium. Its description in RNAcentral is "bacterial SSU rRNA". It matches the Rfam family "Bacterial small subunit ribosomal RNA", at positions 8 to 800 of the family's 1533-position model. The record is from RNAcentral.
AGAGUUUGAUCCUGGCUCAGGAUGAACGCUGGCGGCGUGCCUAAUACAUGCAAGUCGAACGAAGAUCUAGCUUGCUAGAUCUUAGUGGCGAACGGGUGAGUAAUACAUAAAUAAUCUGCCCAUAUGACUGGGAUAACUAUUGGAAACGAUAGCUAAUACCGGAUAGGUUAAUCGGAGGCAUCUCUGAUGAAUUAAAGUAGGAUUUCUACACAAAUGGAUGAGUUUAUGGCGCAUUAGUUAGUUGGUGGGGUAACGGCCUACCAAGACGAUGAUGCGUAGCCGACCUGAGAGGGUGACCGGCCACACUGGGACUGAGACACGGCCCAGACUCCUACGGGAGGCAGCAGUAGGGAAUUUUCGGCAAUGGGCGCAAGCCUGACCGAGCAACGCCGCGUGAGUGAUUAAGGCCUUCGGGUUGUAAAGCUCUGUUGUAAGGGAAGAACAUUCAGGAUAGGAAAUGAUCUUGAACUGACGGUACCUUACCAGAAAGCCACGGCUAACUACGUGCCAGCAGCCGCGGUAAUACGUAGGUGGCAAGCGUUAUCCGGAAUUAUUGGGCGUAAAGGGUGCGUAGGCGGUUUAUUAAGUCUAUGGUGAAAGUGCGGGGCUCAACCCCGUAUGGCCAUAGAAACUGGUAGACUUGAGUGCAGGAGAGGGCAAUGGAAUUCCAUGUGUAGCGGUAAAAUGCGUAGAUAUAUGGAGGAACACCAGUGGCGAAGGCGGUUGCCUGGCCUGUAACUGACGCUGAAGCACGAAAGCGUGGGGGAGCAAAUAGGAUUAGAUACCCUAGUAGUCCACGC